AUACGAAGGGGGCUAGCGUUGUUCGGAAUUACUGGGCGUAAAGCGCGCGUAGGCGGAUUGGUCAGUUAGGGGUGAAAUCCCAGGGCUUAACCCUGGAACUGCCUCUAAUACUGCCAGUCUUGAGUUCGGGAGAGGUGAGUGGAAUUCCUAGUGUAGAGGUGAAAUUCGUAGAUAUUAGGAAGAACACCAGUGGCGAAGGCGGCUCACUGACCCGAUACUGACGCUGAGGCGCGAAAGCGUGGGGAGCAAACAGGAUUAGAAACCCUAGUAGUCC
RNAcentral lists this ribosomal RNA (274 nucleotides) under uncultured bacterium. Its description in RNAcentral is "partial 16S ribosomal RNA". It matches the Rfam family "Bacterial small subunit ribosomal RNA", at positions 523 to 796 of the family's 1533-position model. The record is from RNAcentral.